GAGCAAAAUUUAAACGGAGCGGAAAAUUUGGAGAUAGCAAUUAAACAGAUAAAUGAUAAGCUUGAUAGGUUAGAGCCUACCGUCAAAAAAACAGAUUUUCAGCAACGGACAAUGACACAACCCGUGGAAUCGACAGAAUUGCGAGAAUCCCCGUACUAUAGAUCACCUAGAUUGCCUCCACAUCAUGCACAGAGUUGGAACUGUCCACGCUAUAGGCCGCCACAUUAUGAUCAGUAUCCACAACCUCACUUGACAACAUGUCAAAAUUAUAAUGCUAAACAUCUUCCAAGGUAUGCGCCGCCACAGACUUUUAAUAGGUUACAAGGAGGUCCACGC
This 336-nucleotide long non-coding RNA is filed under the name Androctonus crassicauda. The record is from RNAcentral. Lineage: Eukaryota; Metazoa; Arthropoda; Arachnida; Scorpiones; Buthidae.